This 274-nucleotide ribosomal RNA is filed under the name uncultured bacterium. RNAcentral's name for it is "partial 16S ribosomal RNA". It matches the Rfam family "Bacterial small subunit ribosomal RNA", at positions 523 to 796 of the family's 1533-position model. The record is from RNAcentral.
AUACGGAGGGGGCCAGCGUUGUCCGGAAUCAUUGGGCGUAAAGGGCGCGUAGGCGGAAUGGUAAGUCAGGGGUGAAAAUUCUGAGCUUAACUCAGUACCUGCCCUUGAUACUGCUAUUCUUGAGUUCGAGAGGGGAAAGUGGAAUUCCCGGUGUAGCGGUGAAAUGCGUAGAUAUCGGGAAGAACACCAGUAGCGAAGGCGGCUUUCUGGCUCGUAACUGACGCUGAGGCGCGAAAGCGUGGGGAGCAAACAGGAUUAGAAACCCCAGUAGUCC